Molecule: long non-coding RNA, 316 nt
Organism: Zalophus californianus (California sea lion)
Lineage: Eukaryota; Metazoa; Chordata; Mammalia; Carnivora; Otariidae
Exons: 3
Source: RefSeq, a predicted model, not a curated record
GUAACUGGCUGUUUCUUCCACUGCAGACCAAGAGCGUAGGCUCCCAGCUUACUGCGAAGUGGAAAUGAGAGGCAGGAACAAGAAUCCAUACUGAUUAGAAGGGGAGAGGUCCAGCGCUAUUUUCCUGCCAGGAAGAGUGUGUGCCAUGAGACAUGAAUUUCAGCUGGUAGUUAUAGCUCUCACAGGCUCACAGGAAAACACUGUGGAGGAUCCUGCUCGGUCCUUUUGCACAUUCGUCCCUCCCAAUUUUGCUGAUUUGGGACUGCUCACUCCUGAAAAGAAGGGAGUCUCUCAGUCACGGUGGCAUUAAUAAAUA